AUGGCGUCCACGGCGAGCGGCAGCAGCAGCUACGGCGUCACAGGGAAAAGCCGGGUGCGCGCGGGAGCGCGAACGAGCGACGCGAGCGAGCUGCGGGAGCACGACAAGGGGGAACCAGCGCGGGGCACGCAAACAUGGUACGGCGGCACAACACUACACAAACGAAUACAGAAAACGUCGAAGCACUACGAGCGCGAGAAAGACAUGGAUCGGAAAGCAAUCUACGGGCGCCUACAUGCCAUGGGAAGGAUGGGAGAGGGAGGUGCAUUACCCAGCUCACCCAAGGACGCGAAGUGGUCGACGGAGACGAGCUGGCGGCGACGAAUCGGAGCUCUGAACCUUGGCGCGUCUCUGACCGAGAGGAAGGAGGAAGCAGGGGACAUCGAGGAACUCGUUGUCCGGGGCAUCGUAGUCGACGUCGUGGAAGGAGACGACGCCGAGGAAGAAAAAGGACACGAUCGGCAGGAUUGGGAGUGGCCGGAGAGCACGCCGGCGACGAGGCGCGCUCUCAGGUGCGCUCAGGACGGAGCGGAUGCGGUGAAUCUGGUGGUCUACUCACCUGGCGGCGGCGAUGGGAGGAAGAGGGAAACCCUAGGGGGCAUGUGGACACAGAGAGGGGAUAAAAGGGAGGCUAGGGCGACUGGUGGAGCACGGCGUCGACGCGGCCGUGGCCAUGUGCGCGCGCGGCGUGAGCUAGACGAAAAGAUUGCCGCACAUAAACCUGCUGAGCCGACAUCGACGCCAAGUGCGGCGAUGCCACUUCCGAUGAUUGGGAGGGUGAGUUCUUCCUGGGCUUUACCAAGAUCAGCUAUGAGGGUCCAACUAGCAAGAGGCCGCUUUCUUACAAGUGAUGAAGAAGGAGAAGAGAAUGUCCAUGGCUCAUCAGGGGGCGGCAGGCGGGGCGACACGAUGCUGACAAAGGUGUUCGUGGGUGGCCUGGCGUGGAAGACGAGCAAGGAGGGCGUGCAUGGCCACUUCGAGCGCUUCGGCGAGAUCCCCGAGGACGUCGUCAUCGCCGACAAGGGCACCAGCAGAUCCAAGGGCAGCAGAUUCUUACGUUCUGGAGACAGAGGCGGCCAUGAAGGGCUUGGCUCCGUACCCGUGAUUGACGGCCGGAGGGCCAACUGCAACCCCGACCUGCCUUGGGGUCCAGAGGUCCAAGGCGCCACAACCAACUGCCUCUGA
This 1185-nucleotide ribosomal RNA is filed under the name Triticum aestivum (bread wheat). Its description in RNAcentral is "partial small subunit ribosomal RNA". The record is from RNAcentral. Lineage: Eukaryota; Viridiplantae; Streptophyta; Magnoliopsida; Poales; Poaceae.